Molecule: ribosomal RNA, 253 nt
Filed under: uncultured bacterium
Lineage: Bacteria
Description: partial 16S ribosomal RNA
Rfam family: Bacterial small subunit ribosomal RNA
Source: RNAcentral
UACGUAGGGUGCGAGCGUUAAUCGGAAUUACUGGGCGUAAAGCGUGCGCAGGCGGUUUUGUAAGACAGGCGUGAAAUCCCCGAGCUUAACUUGGGAAUGGCGCUUGUGACUGCAAGGCUAGAGUAUGUCAGAGGGGGGUAGAAUUCCACGUGUAGCAGUGAAAUGCGUAGAGAUGUGGAGGAAUACCGAUGGCGAAGGCGGCAUCCUGGACCGACAUUGACGCUGAACGGCGAAAGCUAGGGGAGCAAACGGG